RNAcentral lists this long non-coding RNA (1785 nucleotides) under Panax ginseng (ginseng). RNAcentral describes it as "long non-coding RNA (PGIN_LNC008209)". The record is from RNAcentral. Lineage: Eukaryota; Viridiplantae; Streptophyta; Magnoliopsida; Apiales; Araliaceae.
AGAAAACCAACUAGCAAAACUAAACUCCAUCAACAUCAUCCUCCAUCUUCAUCUGCUCCACCAAAAGCUUCAUAUAUUCUAGAGAGAAAAAGAAAUGAGUGGAGAGUUUAAGCCUUGAUAAGGCUACGGGAGGAUUCAUGGAAGAAGAUAUGAUGAUUCUAGCAAGAUCUAGCAAAGCAUCUAGCAUCUUAGAGGAAGAAAUCUAAGAAGUAAGUUCUUUAAAACCCUAACUCUUAUUUAUAUCCCUAAGUUUCAUAUCUUGUUAGAUCUUAUUGAUAUUUUGAGUUAUGGGUUGAGGAACAUCAUAAGGAUGAUGUUCAAAAGUUAUAUGAACCAUUAAAAGCAUCCAAGUGGAAUCAAACAAGCAAAAAUUCGAUCCUAUGCAUAAAGGAUGAACAUAUGGUUAAAAGAACAUGAAUGGACUGUUAUGGACCGAGUUUGAGGACAUUUUGUGGUUGUAUUUUACGUUUAAAAAUUUAAUACGAAAGUGGUAUAUUAUACUUCUUUGUGUUAUAAAGAUAACCCAGUUGGAAUGAACCAAAACGGAGUUAAAAUAAAUCCGUGGUAUGAUUUUAGUAAAACAUGUAAAACGAACAAGUUAAAACUAUUUUUGGGGGCUGUUCUUGAGCCAAUGUUUAUGAUGGUCUAGAAUGGAGAAUUAAGUUUUGUUAUGGUGGGUUGUGCUCUUUAGAGUUACGGAUAUAACCCAAUUGGAAUGAAGCAAAAAGAAGCUAAAACGAAUUUAUAGUGAAUGUUUUAGUAAAACAUGUAAAAACUGAAAAUUUGUAGACUGCUGACCCUAAGGAAAAAUUUAGCUAGAAUUUCUAGAAAAUUCUGGAUUUCUAGGGUAGUAUAGUAAACUGAAUAAGGAAGCCAUAGCCUUUGGAACGGACCCAUUCCGAGUUCGGACGAGCGAGUUAUGGCGUUCUACAGUAAACACAUCAAAACUGUCCAAUUUGGAAAAUCAGAUCCAGACUUGUCUCUUGUAUGAAUUUUCUGUACUUGUGUGUUCCAAAUUUGAAAAUGGUUAAAGCAUAAAAGUUGUAUCCCCGGAAGUUAGCUAUGCGUGGGCGCAAAAAUCGUUCAAAAAUAUUUUGAAAUGAAUUAGUUAAUGAUUGUUUUAGCGAGAGAGGGUAAAACUGGAAAAAAAUUGAAUAACUUAACUGUCCAAAUAUUUGUGUGGCUAUUUUAGGGUAGUUGGCAUGUACCAAAAAUUAGGGCCUUUUGUGUGCUGAAAGUACACAUUAUCAGGAAGUUCCAGUCCAAAAAUGGGCUCAAUCCGACUUUUGAGGCGAGAGUUAUGACCAACUGAAAAUUUAAGAAUUAAAACUUGAAACUGAUAAAUAUGAACCUACACAACCCAGAAAAUUAUGAAAUAUUAACGGGAAGUGCGUGAUGAUACGAAGAAGGUUCCAUGUAAAUUUUAGGAUGUUUGGGUAAAGACUAAAUUUAUUAAAAAUGCUGCAAUUUUGAGCAUUAAUGGCCUUUUAAGAAAAUAGUAAAUAAAGCUGAAAAAUUAAGGGAAAAAUAUUUUGCGUGUAAAAUAUUUUUACCUAAGUAUGGCCAAAAAGGAUAAAAAUAAUAAGGUAUCUAAGUGUCAUUGAUAAAUAUGUUGUGGUCAAAAAAGUAAGAAAGAAAUAAUUAAAUAUUGAUUGAUAAGUUAUAUAAUGUAAUUUUUUGACUUAUUUGUAAUAGAAAUGGAUGAACAAAGACUAAGGACGGGUAAUAUGAUUAUCCCUAUAUUAAUAUUAUAAUUUGAUAAUAAAUAUCGGGUAUGCAAUGAAG